RNAcentral lists this ribosomal RNA (402 nucleotides) under uncultured bacterium. Its description in RNAcentral is "bacterial SSU rRNA". It matches the Rfam family "Bacterial small subunit ribosomal RNA", at positions 357 to 776 of the family's 1533-position model. The record is from RNAcentral.
GGGAAUAUUGGACAAUGGGCGAAAGCCUGAUCCAGCAAUGCCGCGUGAGUGAUGAAGGCCUUAGGGUUGUAAAGCUCUUUUACCCGGGAAGAUAAUGACUGUACCGGGAGAAUAAGCUCCGGCUAACUCCGUGCCAGCAGCCGCGGUAAUACGGGGGGAGCUAGCGUUGUUCGGAAUUACUGGGCGUAAAGCGCACGUAGGCGGCUAUUCAAGUCAGAGGUGAAAGCCCGGGGCUCAACCCCGGAACUGCCUUUGAAACUAGAUAGCUUGAAUCCAGGAGAGGUGAGUGGAAUUCCGAGUGUAGAGGUGAAAUUCGUAGAUAUUCGGAAGAACUCCAGUGGCGAAGGCGGCUCACUGGACUGGUAUUGACGCUGAGGUGCGAAAGCGUGGGGAGCAAACAGG